Molecule: ribosomal RNA, 913 nt
Filed under: Candidatus Phytoplasma asteris-related phytoplasma
Lineage: Bacteria; Bacillati; Mycoplasmatota; Mollicutes; Acholeplasmatales; Acholeplasmataceae
Description: bacterial SSU rRNA
Rfam family: Bacterial small subunit ribosomal RNA
Source: RNAcentral
AUAGGUAUGCUUAGGGAGGAGCUUGCGUCACAUUAGUUAGUUGGUGGGGUAAAGGCCUACCAAGACUAUGAUGUGUAGCCGGGCUGAGAGGUUGAACGGCCACAUUGGGACUGAGACACGGCCCAAACUCCUACGGGAGGCAGCAGUAGGGAAUUUUCGGCAAUGGAGGAAACUCUGACCGAGCAACGCCGCGUGAACGAUGAAGUAUUUCGGUACGUAAAGUUCUUUUAUUAGGGAAGAAUAAAUGAUGGAAAAAUCAUUCUGACGGUACCUAAUGAAUAAGCCCCGGCUAACUAUGUGCCAGCAGCCGCGGUAAUACAUAGGGGGCAAGCGUUAUCCGGAAUUAUUGGGCGUAAAGGGUGCGUAGGCUGUUAAAUAAGUUUAUGGUCUAAGUGCAAUGCUCAACAUUGUGAUGCUAUAAAAACUGUUUAGCUAGAGUAAGAUAGAGGCAAGUGGAAUUCCAUGUGUAGUGGUAAAAUGCGUAAAUAUAUGGAGGAACACCAGUAGCGAAGGCGGCUUGCUGGGUCUUUACUGACGCUGAGGCACGAAAGCGUGGGGAGCAAACAGGAUUAGAUACCCUGGUAGUCCACGCCGUAAACGAUGAGUACUAAACGUUGGGUAAAACCAGUGUUGAAGUUAACACAUUAAGUACUCCGCCUGAGUAGUACGUACGCAAGUAUGAAACUUAAAGGAAUUGACGGGACUCCGCACAAGCGGUGGAUCAUGUUGUUUAAUUCGAAGGUACCCGAAAAACCUCACCAGGUCUUGACAUGCUUCUGCAAAGCUGUAGAAACACAGUGGANGUUAUCAGUUGCACAGGUGGUGCAUGGUUGUCGUCAGCUCGUGUCGUGAGAUGUUGGGUUAAGUCCCGCAACGAGCGCAACCCUUAUUGUUAGUUGCCANCACGUAAUGG